This 793-nucleotide ribosomal RNA is filed under the name uncultured archaeon. RNAcentral describes it as "bacterial SSU rRNA". It matches the Rfam family "Archaeal small subunit ribosomal RNA", at positions 85 to 879 of the family's 1478-position model. The record is from RNAcentral.
ACGGCUCAGUAACACGUGGAUAACGUGCCCUUUAAGUGGAGCAUAAUCUCGGGAAAUUGAGGAUAAUACUCCAUAGAUCAUGGGAUCUGGAAUGACCCAUGGUUCAAAGUUCCGGCGCUUAAGGAUCGGUCUGCGGCCUAUCAGGUAGUAGUGGGUUUAACAUACCUACUAGCCUACGACGGGUAUGGGCCUUGAGAGAGGGAGCCCAGAGUUGGAUUCUGAGACACGAAUCCAGGCCCUACGGGGCGCAGCAGUCGCGAAAACUUCACAAUGGGGGCAACCCCGAUGAGGGAAUUCCUAGUGCUAGCACAUUUGUGUUAGCUUUUCUUCAGCAUAGAACACUGGAGGAAUAAGGGCUGGGUAAGACGGGUGCCAGCCGCCGCGGUAAUACCUGCAGCCCAAGUGGUGGUCGAUUUUAUUGAGUCUAAAACGUUCGUAGCCGGUUCGGUAAAUCUUUGGGUAAAUCGGGGGGCUUAACUUUCCGACUUCCGAGGAGACUGCCGAACUUGGGACCGGGAGAGGCAAGAGGUACUUCUGGGGUAGGGGUAAAAUCCUGUAAUCCUAGAAGGACCACCGGUGGCGAAGGCGUCUUGCUAGAACGGAUCCGACGGUGAGGGACGAAGCCCUGGGUCGCAAACGGGAUUAGAUACCCCGGUCGUCCAGGGUGUAAACGCUGCAGACUUGGUGUUGGAGGCCCUUUGGGGGCAUUCAGUGCCGGAGAGAAGUUGUUAAGUCUGCUACUUGGGGAGUACGUCCGCAAGGAUGAAACUUAAAGGAAUUGGCGGGGGAGCAC